Molecule: ribosomal RNA, 427 nt
Filed under: uncultured bacterium
Lineage: Bacteria
Description: bacterial SSU rRNA
Rfam family: Bacterial small subunit ribosomal RNA
Source: RNAcentral
UGGGGAAUAUUGCACAAUGGGCGCAAGCCUGAUGCAGCCAUGCCGCGUGUGUGAAGAAGGCCUUAGGGUUGUAAAGCACUUUCAGUCAGGAGGAAGGGCGAUAGUUUAAUACACUAUUGCAUUGACGUUACUGACAGAAGAAGCACCGGCUAACUCCGUGCCAGCAGCCGCGGUAAUACGGAGGGUGCAAGCGUUAAUCGGAAUUACUGGGCGUAAAGCGCACGCAGGCGGUUGAUUAAGUUGGAUGUGAAAUCCCCGGGCUUAACCUGGGAACUGCAUUCAAGACUGGUCAGCUAGAGUCUCGUAGAGGGGGGUAGAAUUCCACGUGUAGCGGUGAAAUGCGUAGAGAUGUGGAGGAAUACCGGUGGCGAAGGCGGCCCCCUGGACGAAGACUGACGCUCAGGUGCGAAAGCGUGGGGAGCAAACA